Molecule: ribosomal RNA, 406 nt
Filed under: uncultured bacterium
Lineage: Bacteria
Description: bacterial SSU rRNA
Rfam family: Bacterial small subunit ribosomal RNA
Source: RNAcentral
UGGGGAAUAUUGGGCAAUGGGCGCAAGCCUGACCCAGCAACGCCGCGUGAAGGAAGAAGGCUUUCGGGUUGUAAACUUCUUUUGACAGGGAAGAGGAGAAGACGGUACCUGUCGAAUAAGCUCCGGCUAACUACGUGCCAGCAGCCGCGGUAAUACGUAGGGAGCGAGCGUUGUCCGGAUUUACUGGGUGUAAAGGGCGUGCAGCCGGGUUUAUAAGUCAGAUGUGAAAUCCCGCAGCUCAACUGCGGAACUGCAUUUGAAACUGUAGAUCUUGAGUACUGGAGAGGCAGGCGGAAUUCCUAGUGUAGCGGUGAAAUGCGUAGAUAUUAGGAGGAACACCAGUGGCGAAGGCGGCCUGCUGGACAGCAACUGACGGUGAGGCGCGAAAGCGUGGGGAGCAAACAGG